GACGAACGCUGGCGGCGUGCUUAACACAUGCAAGUCGAACGGAAAGGCCCUGCUUUUGUGGGGUGCUCGAGUGGCGAACGGGUGAGUAACACGUGAGUAACCUGCCCUUGACUUGGGGAUAACUUCAGGAAACUGGGGCUAAUACCGGAUAGGAGCUCCUGCUGCAUGGGGGGGGUUGGAAAGUUUCGGCGGUUGGGGAUGGACUCGCGGCUUAUCAGCUUGUUGGUGGGGUAGUGGCUUACCAAGGCUUUGACGGGUAGCCGGCCUGAGAGGGUGACCGGCCACAUUGGGACUGAGAUACGGCCCAGACGCCUACGGGAGGCAGCAGUGGGGAAUAUUGCACAAUGGGCGGAAGCCUGAUGCAGCAACGCCGCGUGCGGGAUGACGGCCUUCGGGUUGUAAACCGCUUUCGCCUGUGACGAAGCGUGAGUGACGGUAAUGGGUAAAGAAGCACCGGCUAACUACGUG
RNAcentral lists this ribosomal RNA (468 nucleotides) under uncultured bacterium. RNAcentral describes it as "partial 16S ribosomal RNA". It matches the Rfam family "Bacterial small subunit ribosomal RNA", at positions 28 to 507 of the family's 1533-position model. The record is from RNAcentral.